CUACGGGAGGCAGCAGUAAGGAAUAUUGGACAAUGGGGGCAACCCUGAUCCAGCCAUGCCGCGUGCGGGAAGAAGGCCUUCGGGUUGUAAACCGCUUUUAGCCGGGAAGAAAAGGCGCAGGCUAAUACCCUGCGUUCUUGACGGUACCGGCGGAAUAAGCACCGGCUAACUACGUGCCAGCAGCCGCGGUAAUACGUAGGGUGCGAGCGUUAAUCGGAAUUACUGGGCGUAAAGCGUGCGCAGGCGGUUCGUUAAGUCAGAUGUGAAAGCCCCGGGCUCAACCUGGGAACGGCAUUUGAAACUGGCGGGCUGGAGUGUGGCAGAGGGGGGUGGAAUUCCGCGUGUAGCAGUGAAAUGCGUAGAGAUGCGGAGGAACACCGAUGGCGAAGGCAGCCCCCUGGGCUGACACUGACGCUCAGGCACGAAAGCGUGGGGAGCAAACAGGAUUAGAAACCCGAGUAGUCC
RNAcentral lists this ribosomal RNA (465 nucleotides) under uncultured bacterium. RNAcentral describes it as "bacterial SSU rRNA". It matches the Rfam family "Bacterial small subunit ribosomal RNA", at positions 339 to 796 of the family's 1533-position model. The record is from RNAcentral.